GAUGAACGCUGGCGGCGUGCCUAAUACAUGCAAGUCGAGCGAACAGAUGAGGAGCUUGCUCCUCUGACGUUAGCGGCGGACGGGUGAGUAACACGUGGAUAACCUACCUAUAAGACUGGGAUAACUUCGGGAAACCGGAGCUAAUACCGGAUAAUAUAUUGAACCGCAUGGUUCAAUAGUGAAAGACGGUUUUGCUGUCACUUAUAGAUGGAUCCGCGCCGCAUUAGCUAGUUGGGAAGGUAACGGCUUACCAAGGCAACGAUGCGUAGCCGACCUGAGAGAGUGAUCGGCCACACUGGAACUGAGACACGGUCCAGACACCUACGGUAAGCAGCAGUAGGGAAUCUUCCGCAAGGGGCGAGAGCCUGACGGAGCAACGCCGCGUGAGUGAUGAAGGUCUUCGGAUCGUAAAACGCUGUUAGUAGGGAAGAACAAAUGUGUAAGUAACUAUGCACGUCUUGACGGUACCUAAUCAGAAAGCCACGGCUAACUACGUG
Molecule: ribosomal RNA, 497 nt
Filed under: uncultured bacterium
Lineage: Bacteria
Description: partial 16S ribosomal RNA
Rfam family: Bacterial small subunit ribosomal RNA
Source: RNAcentral